Molecule: non-coding RNA, 237 nt
Organism: Pelobates cultripes (western spadefoot toad)
Lineage: Eukaryota; Metazoa; Chordata; Amphibia; Anura; Pelobatidae
Source: the annotation of a GenBank genome assembly
UGACGAAACAAAGGAGCGUAGUCAGUGCCGAAAUCAAGCAUUCAGGGUUAUUUACUAAGGGGAGAAUUCAGAGUGAAUUUAUAAAUGUAAGGCCAGAGUAGCCAAACUCAAAGCAUGUCCACUUAGCGAAUGGUUCCAGUAUCGCUAUUUUGAACUUUGUCUUAAUGUAAAUUUGUCCAAAAUGCACUGAUUAUUUUAAAUGCUCGCCAUUUUGUUUUUACUUCAGGGCCAUAGAAG